UACGUAGGGUGCGAGCGUUAAUCGGAAUUACUGGGCGUAAAGCGUGCGCAGGCGGUUUUGUAAGCCAGAUGUGAAAUCCCCGGGCUCAACCUGGGAAUGGCAUUUGGGACUGCAAGGCUGGAGUUUGGCAGAGGAGACUGGAAUUCCUGGUGUAGCAGUGAAAUGCGUAGAUAUCAGGAGGAAUACCGAUGGCGAAGGCAGGUCUCUGGGCUAUAACUGACGCUCAUGCACGAAAGCGUGGGGAGCAAAUAGG
This 253-nucleotide ribosomal RNA is filed under the name uncultured bacterium. RNAcentral describes it as "partial 16S ribosomal RNA". It matches the Rfam family "Bacterial small subunit ribosomal RNA", at positions 524 to 776 of the family's 1533-position model. The record is from RNAcentral.